GCCAGGUGUGGUGGCGCAUGCCUGUAAUCCCAGCUACUUAGGAGGCUGAGGCAGGAGAAUCACUUGAACCCAGGAGGCGGAGGCUGCAGUGAGCCAAGAUCAUGCCACUGCACUCCAGCCUGGGCAAUACAGUGAGACUCUGUCUCAA
RNAcentral lists this signal recognition particle RNA (148 nucleotides) under Pan troglodytes (chimpanzee). RNAcentral's name for it is "Metazoan signal recognition particle RNA". It matches the Rfam family "Metazoan signal recognition particle RNA". Rfam says of the family: The signal recognition particle (SRP) is a universally conserved ribonucleoprotein. It is involved in the co-translational targeting of proteins to membranes. The record is from Rfam by way of RNAcentral. Lineage: Eukaryota; Metazoa; Chordata; Mammalia; Primates; Hominidae.